CCUGGGAACAUGUCAGUAGUUACGUUACAUUUGUUUUUCGUUUUGUUCCAGUGUGCUUGUGAAAAUAGCUUUAUCUUCAAUACUCCCAGAGUGGAAAGAUGAAGUUUCAGGGAGAGGGGAGCAGUUUCUGAUUUUAAAUGAAUUCUCCAGGGAGCCUUGCUCUGUGUGGUGCAUGCACGCUUUGCCAUGGACUGAACUCACCGAACGCUGUUCCCGGGGCCCCCCAGGUUUGCUUCCAGCCUGAGGACUUCUCCCAGCCUGAGUGCUUCCCCUG
This 274-nucleotide long non-coding RNA is filed under the name Chinchilla lanigera (long-tailed chinchilla). Its description in RNAcentral is "lncRNA (ENSCLAG00000023544.1)". The record is from RNAcentral. Lineage: Eukaryota; Metazoa; Chordata; Mammalia; Rodentia; Chinchillidae.